UAGAGUUGAUCCUGGCUCAGAUUGAACGCUGGCGGUAUGCUUUACACAUGCAAGUCGAACGGAUUAAGAAGCUUGCUUCUCAGUUAGUGGCGAACGGGUGAGUAAUACAUCGGAACGUGUCCUGGAGUGGGGGAUAGCCCGGCGAAAGCCGGAUUAAUACCGCAUAUGCCCUGAGGGGGAAAGGGGGGGAUCGCAAGACCUCUCGCUUUCGGAGUGGCCGAUAUCGGAUUAGCUAGUAGGUGAGGUAAAGGCUCACCUAGGCGACGAUCCGUAGCGGGUCUGAGAGGACGACCCGCCACACUGGAACUGAGACACGGUCCAGACUCCUACGGGAGGCAGCAGUGGGGAAUUUUGGACAAUGGGCGAAAGCCUGAUCCAGCCAUACCGCGUGAGUGAAGAAGGCCUUCGGGUUGUAAAGCUCUUUCAGCCGGAAAGAAAUCGUAUCUAUUAAUACUAGAUGCGGAUGACGGUGCCGGAAGAAGAAGCACCGGCUAACUACGUGCCAGCAGCCGCGGUAA
RNAcentral lists this ribosomal RNA (518 nucleotides) under uncultured Ferribacterium sp. RNAcentral describes it as "bacterial SSU rRNA". It matches the Rfam family "Bacterial small subunit ribosomal RNA", at positions 1 to 523 of the family's 1533-position model. The record is from RNAcentral. Lineage: Bacteria; Pseudomonadati; Pseudomonadota; Betaproteobacteria; Rhodocyclales; Azonexaceae.